RNAcentral lists this long non-coding RNA (214 nucleotides) under Pan troglodytes (chimpanzee). RNAcentral's name for it is "long non-coding RNA NONPTRT013072". Lineage: Eukaryota; Metazoa; Chordata; Mammalia; Primates; Hominidae. The record is from RNAcentral.
GAAAAAUUAGGAAAAAUUAUGAUUACUAUAGCUUUCAAUAUUUAUAGAACUUCGUAUAUUCCAGAUAUGUAAUAAGAAUUAAGUAUAUGAAUAUAAUUCAACAUACAAUCAGCAACACAGAAUGGGAGAAAAUUUUUGCACUCUAUCCAUCUGACAAAAGGCUAAUAUCCAGAAUCUACAAGGAACUUAAACAAAUGUACAAGAAAAAUAACAA